Molecule: long non-coding RNA, 2515 nt
Organism: Chenopodium quinoa (quinoa)
Lineage: Eukaryota; Viridiplantae; Streptophyta; Magnoliopsida; Caryophyllales; Amaranthaceae
Exons: 4
Source: RefSeq, a predicted model, not a curated record
UGUAAAUGCAGCCUACUUUCUCUCUCCUAACCUCCUCCCCGAUCCAUUGAGUUUUCCAGGCAUACUGAAUUUUAUAUCUCUUCCGAUCCAUUGGAGCGUGCUUUAAGUAUUCUCUCCUCAUAAAGCAUGCAAAGAACCAGCUUAUUGCAAUUGUCUGAUGGUUCUUGCUGAUUCCCUUGCCGUGUAAAUUUUCCAGUGAAGCGACUUCACAGCUCUAAUCUCAUAAUCGUUUCCCUUUAAUUGCGGCUUUUAGGCUUUCUCUUCUCCAUUGAAACAACUUUUGAGCCGUAAAAAGUAGAACAAAAUGGUGUAUUUAACGAUGAUUACUCGUGUAAUGGAUGGUCGAUGUGAAAGAUGCUGAAUAUUACAAGAAGCAAAUCAAAAGCUUUGUUCAAAAAUCUUUCAAAUUAAAAGGUCAGAAUGAUCCUUCUAUAAUGUCUGCUGAGAGUGGACCUUACAUAUUUCAGUAUCCUUCAUUUUUUUCCCAGCAAUUUUUAUUGUUUAUAUGCAAUGUGUGAAAUUAAGUGCAAUGUAGUCAUGCAGAUGUUAAUUAUGUUGGUCUGUUGUUUGUUAAUUGUUAGGAGUGGGAGAAAGGUGGCGGUCGGGGGUACGGGAUUUUAGGAUUCCCGUUGGUUUGAUUUCAAAAUAUAUGGCUAUUCUAUUUAUUUCAGCUUUUUCUAAAGGUAUUCCACAAUGGAGCAAUAAAUAGUAUUUACCUGCUUGAUUGUUCAAUGAAAUUUUUUUAUAGGAUUGCUUGUAUAGUUGGUAAUAUCUUAUUUGUUGCUUUAUUGGUGCUCAUUUUAUUUUGCUCCUUAAACUGCUUGUAUAUGAAGUAAUAUGUUCACUAAUAUUUAUGCUUAUUUAAACCUUGCCCAUUUCAGUACUUUUGUGCAAUCCAAUUUUUUUUUUUCUUUUGGAUUGUGUUGGCCUAUCUCAUUUGACUUCAGAACUGACUUUACUGGUUGAAGCUUGCAUAUUAGAAAGAUUUGAAGAGUGGUUUAUUGUUCUUUCAUAGCAUUCAUCCUGGUAGUGGUAAGAGUGGUUAUAGUUUUAGUUAGUUUCAAAGCCAACAAAUGACAUUUAAUUUCGUAAUUUGGUCAUUCUGAAAAUUCUUGCGGCACCCUUUGGAGUGGUACCAAAAUCUAUAUUCUAGCCUAUGUUUAGUUAUAAAUGACUAUUUUCUGAUAGUGAGUUGUGGCUCCCAAGUCCCAACUUUCUCCAUGCUUCCAAAUAUUGAUAUACAGUGAUGAAUUACUAUUAUUCUGAAAUUACUGAAGCAGAAGCCUAGGGUUGGUUAUGAGAUUACUAAGGCUUUCUUCAAUUGAAGCCUUCUGAUUGUGUAAUCCCUUUUCACAGUUAAAGCUUUUUAUAAUAACCAAGUUUACUGCUACACGUUCUCAGUGAGUUUUUGUGUGUUGCUUGCUAAGGCAGAUAAACACUAGCAAUGGUUUCUAAUGCGAUAAAUUUACACCUAACAGACCUUUUAAGCCCAAGCUUUUGACUGAGGCUUAGACUGGCUAAGUGGCUUGUAUCUCUAUUAAUUCUUCGCAUUUGAACAUGUACCGUAUGCUGAGAAUUUUUAUAAGGUUAUUCUUUGUUUAUACCAUCUUGAGCAGGUUUAUCGAGCUGGCUUUUUCUGUUGUAAGGUUCAUACUACAGACAGGAUAAUUCUUUGUAAACUACUUUUACAGAGUAAUUUCCUUAUAGUCCAAUAAUUCACCUAUCCUAAAUGAAACAAUUCUAAUAAAUAUCAUGUCAAACAGUACGAUGGUGGGACAAACUUCUGGAGAACAGCUAGAGGUCCAUUUAUCACUACUUCUUACAAAUAUGAUGCUCCUCUUGCUGAAUAUGGUUUUACCAGGCAGCAGAAAUAUGGUCACCUAAAGGAAAUUCAUAAGGAAAUUAAGCUAUGUUGAUCAGCAGUGGUUUCGUCUAAUCUUAUAGUUAUUAAAUUAGUGGAAUAUUAACAGGCUCAUGUAUUUCCUCCGAAAAAGGAAGUUUGUGCAGCUUUUCUUUCAAACUAUGAUACAAAAUCUGGUGUGAGAGUUCCUUUUAUUGAUAAACGCAACACCAUGUCUCUCUGCUAGUCCAUUAGCAUUCUUCCAUAUUAGCAUUCUUUUUCCCGGGAUCAUAUCAAAAAGUUUGGAGCUGUCUGUUGUUAUAGUUGAAGCUGUCACUGUCAUUGUUACUGCUGCUUACUGGUGUCACUGUUGUCUAUUGCUGUUAUCAUUGCCACUGCUGCCUGCUGGUCUUGAUCUGCAGCAUUUACUGCUAGCUGGUGUAUUGUUUCUGCUUUUACUGCUAGCUAUAGCUGCUGUUAUAUUGCGCGCGCUGCUGUCAGUUUGCAACUAUGCUAACUGUUUUUGGGAAUUUGAUAGUCCAGAGACCGAAGUUGACUUUGUUUUUGUUUUGAUUAUUAGAUUGUUUAGCCAAAAAAAAAUAGUGAUUAUGAAUGUUUGUUUGUAAGGAUUAUGAAAUGUUUUUAAUUCAAAUUAUUUUCUAUUGUUCAUGUUAA